Long non-coding RNA from Lycium barbarum (goji berry), 713 nucleotides. RefSeq lists it as uncharacterized. The transcript has 3 exons. The record is from RefSeq and is a predicted model, not a curated record. Lineage: Eukaryota; Viridiplantae; Streptophyta; Magnoliopsida; Solanales; Solanaceae.
AUUAUCCCCCCUCAAAUUGGAGGGUAGUGAAACAACCCCCAAUUUGUCUAGCAAAAAUCGGUGAGAUGCCCCAGAUAGGGGUUUUGUGAAUAGAUCUGCAAUCUACUGCUUUGAAGGGACGAAGGACAAAGUAAUGAGACCGGAGACGAACUGUUGUCUUACAAAAUGACAAUCCAGUUCAACAUGUUUCGUCCUUUCGUGGAAGACCGGGUUUUUUGCAAUAUGGAUAGCCGCUUGGCUAUCGGAGUGAAGAGUCACCGGCAAGCUAAGAGGAGCGGCAAGAUCUGAUAGAAGCCUUACUAACCAGGAAACGGGUGCUCCACCAAGGGUGAUGAAAAAACCACUGACUGACCGUCGAGAGUCAGUACAAGAUGCCCAAUCAGCAUCGCAGAAAGCAAGUAAUUCGAAAGAUGAAUCAGAGGAGAGGAGGAUCCCUUGACCUGGAUCAUUUUUCAGAUCUGGAGCCUUACAAGCUCCAUUGAUGAAUCCAAGUUUUCUCUUGGCUGAUAAGGCUAGGAGAAUAGAUCUCCUCCAACCUGGAUAUCCUUUGCCAUCAAACACAUUGUUAAUUAAGGUCAUUCCGGGUGAAUCAGAGUUAUUCAGAUGGUAAGGAUGACUGUUAUCGUAAGUGAUGGUUUUGUCUACAUUGCUUGGCUGUACAUUUGGUGUUGCAUCAGCCAUUUUGGUUUAUUGAGAGAUUGAAGGUGAUUUUG